CCGGUCGAGAGAGGCAUUCCAGGCCAAGCCCCCUCCCCCCGCUUCCCUCCGGCCUCGCCUUGCUGCGCCGUUCCCACCCGAGCAGGGGGGGGCGGAGAGGAAGGGCCGGGCGCGCUCAUGGCUCCCUAUUUGCAUAACUUCUUGCGGCUUGGGAAAAAGGAGGAACACGCACGCACGAACGAACGCCGCAAGUGGCGUGGUUGUAAAGAGCCACUUUGUUCCCGAACCGGCAGAAAAAAGUGGUGGGGGGGAACCCGCUCCUGCACACGUGCGCGUGGGUAACCCCCCCCCCCUUUAAAGAAAGAAAGAUUUCUCUUUUCCCCAGAGCUUACGAUAAACCCGAAGCACCCUUUGAAUCAGGAAGCUGGAAACUUGGUGCAAGAGUAGAGCAGAUCUUGUGUGUACAACGGUUGAGCAACAGCUCCAGGAUUCAAAAUGGUGGCUGUUAGAAGCAGCAGGAGAGGUCAAGAUGCGGAUUGGAUGGCAAGCAAACAUGCCAGAAGGAGAAAAACAAUGGGAAAGGGGUACAUACUUGCUGUUGUGCAGAUUUUACAUCCCAUAAGAACACUGGAAAACAUAUGGACAUCAGUCUUGUGUUUGGAUAAGGACCUCCUGAUUGUGAAAUUCCUACAGGCACAAGAGUCAUCGUUCUGGUAUGCUGACAGGUCUUUGGGAAUACAUGAAAAUGAAGUUCCAAGGCAGCUGUGGCACACAAGAAUACAGUGAAGGUGGUGGACUGCUGACAUUUCCUAGAAACAUUGAGCUGAAUCCAGAUAAGAGACAACACCGUAAUUCUACUGGUUUUGUUUUUAAAAAGAAAUAAUAUACUUUGUCCUUGCCUUUGAAUACCCUCUGGCUGUUGCAAGCCUGUUUAAAGAUGGGAAUAUCCAGGGGGACAAAAAGGGUAAUUGAAUCAAAAGGGAAUUUUCAAAGUUCUAUACAUUUUGAGGAAAUAGGUAAAUGUUUUACUUAGAAACUGCACUGUAUUUAGGUUUUAUGUGAUGCAAUCAUUUAAAUGUGCUCUGCACAAUUUAAGGGAAUCAGGUUUUCUGCCACCCUGAACCAAACCUCUGAGUGUGCUUUAUUUAUUAAGAAUCUUCAGAAAAUCUGUACUAUUUUGAAUCUCAUUCUAGUCUCUUUCUAGUUACCUUUUUUCCUUUUAUUUGUAGUGGGCAAUGGCAUCUUGUGGUCCACUAGGAUUCUUAUUAUUUCUUUCUAUAAUGUUUUGCUUGAUCUAUCUCGUUUCAUUUACUAGCAGUUCUAUUUCUGGACUGGGACAGCUCUGUAAUUUAUCUUUUCCAACACUGAUUAUUUGCAGUUUAAUAUUUAGAGUUUAUCUACUUUUUUUUCCUAAUAAAGUUUAU
This is a long non-coding RNA of Python bivittatus (Burmese python), 1364 nucleotides long. RefSeq lists it as uncharacterized. NCBI's taxonomy places the organism in Eukaryota, Metazoa, Chordata, Lepidosauria, Squamata, Pythonidae. The record is from RefSeq and is a predicted model, not a curated record.